CGCCUAACACAUGCAAGUCGCGCGAACCUUCGGGUUAGCGGCGAACGGCUGCGUAACACGUUGGAACCUGCCCCGGACUCAGGGAUAACCUCGCGAAAGCGAGGCUAAUACCGGAUGGCCCCGCAAGGGUAAAGCUUUUGCGGUCCGGGAGGGGCCUGCGGCCUAUCAGCUUGUUGGUAAGGUAAUGGCUUACCAAGGCUAUGACGGGUAGCUGGUCUGAGAGGACGACCAGCCAGAAUGGGACUGAGACACGGCCCAUACUCC
Molecule: ribosomal RNA, 264 nt
Filed under: uncultured bacterium
Lineage: Bacteria
Description: partial 16S ribosomal RNA
Rfam family: Bacterial small subunit ribosomal RNA
Source: RNAcentral